CUGUGUAUGGCAGGGGGCGGAGGCAGGGAGAAGGAGUGAGAGAGUGCUCUGGUGUCUCUUCUAAUAAAGACACCAAUCCUAUUGGAUCAGUGUUGCACCCUUACAAUCUCAUUUAAACUUAAUUACUUCCAUAUAAGUCUCAUCUCCAAAUACAGCCACACUGAGGGUUAAGGAUUCUACAUAUGAAUUUUGAGAGGCAAAAACUCUCAGUCUACAACACUAGUUUUUUUUUUUUUUUUUAAUUUUGUAGAUUGUUCUUUUGGUGUCCUAUUUAAAAAAUUAUUUCCUAACCCAAGGUCACAAAAGUUUCCUUCUGUAUUUUAUUGUUUUAGAUUUUACAUUUAGGUCUAUGAUCCAUUUUGAUUUAAUUUUCAUAUCUCUGUGAGCCUUGCUCAACUCAAAUAUGGGUUCUAAGAGUGAUUUUGAAGGUUCUACCAGAUUUUCUACAUAGACGAUCAUGUUAUCUAUUCUCUAUACAGGCUGACCCCUAUGGCCUACUAAGAAUGAAUAAUUAAAACUCUAGGAAUCCCAGGGUUUGUUGGAGUUCAGGGUUGUCGCUGAGUGGUGGAAAUAUUGUUCUCAACCAAAAAAAAAAAAAAAAAUGUGGGGAUUACAUGCCAGUACCAUCCACCCCUGCAUUAGAAGUUUUCAUCGAAGAGCUUCAUUUCACAAGGUCUUUGAUGGAACAACAGAAGAGACAGGGCUCAUCUGACUGAUCCAAGGAGCAAGGACACCCAGGACUUAUCUUUAGAUCUCACCUCACCUGCCUGAGCAAGCCAGUGAGAAUGGGAUGUAAGGAGUCAGCUCUAGAGGUCUAAAGAAUCAUCUAACAGGGAAAGCUGAAUGUAUGGACAUUCUGCGGUCUUCUGCCACCCAGAAGUACAGGGCAAGAUGUCCAGAAUGUGGAUCCUAUCUCUGACCUUAUCCCAUUUUUUCAGUUAUUCUCAGCAGUCACUUUUUUGCUUGUAAGUAUAGAGACGCUCACCUUACUCAUAAUACAAUCUAAAGAUCUUCCAUGACCUCUCUGACCUGCAGGAUCUCCCUCUAAUGCCUCUCUUACCCUUCCCUUCUCUUGAGCUUUGCUUGACAUUCCUGGUAUCUCUGCCAAGGCCACUCUCCUCCCUGAGUACUGCUUGGCUCACUCCUUCAUUUAACUUUCACUUUGACUCAAGUUACCAUGUUUUCAGAGAUAUUUACAUAUACUUCACAAGUAUUCCUACUUAUGAUGGUUUUUUGUGUAUCAACUUGACAGGGCAAAGGGAUGUCUAGAUAGCUGGUAAAACAUUGUUUCUGGUUAUGUUUGUGAGAGUGUUUCUGGAAGACGUUAGCAUUUGAAUGACUAGACAGAGCACAGAAGAUCCACCUUCACCAAUGUGGGUGACCAUCAUCUAAUCCCUUGAGGGCUAGAAUAGGACGACGACAACAACAACAACAACAAAAGAAACCACAGCAAAUUUACUCUUUCUGUUUGACUCGGACACUCUGUCUCCUCCAGCUUGGGGACACUGGUGCUCCUGGUUCUCAGGCCUUUGAAGCCAAACCAGCAGGGUUUACAACAUUAGCUCCCCUGGUUUUUGGACCUUUGGACUUAGGCUGAAUUAUGGCAGUGGCUUUCCUGGUUCUCCACUUGGGGAUGGCAGAUCAUGGGACUUCUUGGCCUCCAUAAUUAAGUGAGCCAAUUCCCAAGCUGAAGAAUAAAAUUCAAUAGAAA
This 1711-nucleotide long non-coding RNA is filed under the name Homo sapiens (human). RNAcentral describes it as "HSALNT0224073". Lineage: Eukaryota; Metazoa; Chordata; Mammalia; Primates; Hominidae. The record is from RNAcentral.